AGGAAGUAAAAGUCGUAACAAGGUUUCCGUAGGUGAACCUGCGGAAGGAUCAUUAUUGAAUUGUCAACAUGGGUUGUUGCUGGUCCUCAACAUGGACAUGUGCACACUCUGUUCACACAUCCACUUACACCUGUGCACCCUCUGUAGUUCUGUGGCCUGGGAGACUCUGUCCCCUUGCUGUGGCUCUACACAUUUACACAUAUACACUGUGAUAAAGUCUUAUGGAAUGUAUGCCGCGUUUAACGCAAUACAAUACAACUUUCAGCAACGGAUCUCUUGGCUCUCGCAUCGAUGAAGAACGCAGCGAAAUGCGAUAAGUAAUGUGAAUUGCAGAAUUCAGUGAAUCAUCGAAUCUUUGAACGCACCUUGCNCCCUUUGGCUAUUCCUGAGGGCAUGCCUGUUUGAGUAUCAUGAACACCUCAACUCUCACAGUCUGCUGUGAUGAGCUUGGACUUUGGGGGUUUUGCUGGCCUAUGGUCGGCUCCUCUAAAACAAAUCAGCUUGCCAGUUUUUGGUGGCAUCACAGGUGUGAUAACUAUCUGCGCUUGUGAAGUUUCACCAGGGUGGCCUUCAGCGAUGGAGGUCUGGCUGGGGCUCAUAAAUGUCUCUCCUCAGCAGAGAUGGUUUUGUGAAUGUUUGAUCUCAAAUCAGGUAGGACUACCCGCUGAACUUAAGCAUAUCA
RNAcentral lists this ribosomal RNA (682 nucleotides) under uncultured fungus. RNAcentral describes it as "eukaryotic LSU rRNA". The stretch from base 257 to 411 matches the Rfam family "5.8S ribosomal RNA". Lineage: Eukaryota; Fungi. The record is from RNAcentral.